AUGGCCUGGGCUCUGCUCCUCCUCAGCCUCCUCUCUCAGGGCACAGGGUCCUGGGCCCAGGCGGCCCUCACUCAGCCUCCUUCAGUGUCCGGGAACCCGGGACAGUCAGUCACCAUCUCCUGUGCUGGGAGCAGCAGUGAUAUCGGUGGUUAUAUUUACGUCUCCUGGUAUCAACAGCGCCCGGGCACGGCCCCCAAACUCCUGAUUUAUUAUGUCAGCACUCGGCCCUCAGGGAUCCCUGAGCGCUUCUCUGGCUCCAAGUCUGGCAACACGGCCACCCUGACCAUCUCUGGGCUGCAGGCUGAGGACGAGGCUGACUAUUACUGCUGCUCAUAUAGGAGUGAUAACACUCUCCACAGUAGUGCAGGCUCAUGGGGAAGUGAGACCAAAACCCGCCCUGGGCUCCCAGGCGCCCUCCUUGUUCUGAAGAUGCUCCCCUCCCAGUGUUUCAGUCGGGAGUCCCAGCAUUCCUCAGCCAAGAACCGCGAGGAUGCCCAAGGAGUAGGGACAGGGACCUCCAAGGUGGCCUCCGGUCCCUCUCCUGUGGUCUCAGUGGGUCCCGGGUGA
Molecule: non-coding RNA, 567 nt
Organism: Eptesicus fuscus (big brown bat)
Lineage: Eukaryota; Metazoa; Chordata; Mammalia; Chiroptera; Vespertilionidae
Source: the annotation of a RefSeq genome assembly